RNAcentral lists this ribosomal RNA (253 nucleotides) under uncultured bacterium. RNAcentral's name for it is "partial 16S ribosomal RNA". It matches the Rfam family "Bacterial small subunit ribosomal RNA", at positions 524 to 776 of the family's 1533-position model. The record is from RNAcentral.
UACGAAGGGUGCAAGCGUUACUCGGAAUUACUGGGCGUAAAGCGUGCGUAGGUGGUGAGUUAAGUCUGUCGUGAAAGCCCCGGGCUUAACCUGGGAACUGCGUUUGAAACUGGGAGACUUGAGUGUGGCAGAGGGGGGUGGAAUUCCACGUGUAGCAGUGAAAUGCGUAGAUAUGUGGAGGAACACCAAUGGCGAAGGCAGCCCCCUGGGUCAACACUGACGCUCAUGCACGAAAGCGUGGGGAGCAAACAGG